ACUUGGUUGUGGACCAAGUUUUGCUACAACUUGGUUUUGGCAUUAUUAGUUUGGGGUUGGUUUUAGACUGGACAAGACUCAGUUGUGAACUGAUUCUGACUGUUUUUUGGCUGGGAUUGGGUUGGGCUUGGACUGGGUUUAGAGCUGUUUUUGAAUGAGUUGUGGAGUGUUGACUACUUUUAUAUUCUUGUUUUCAUAUAUCACUGUAUUCAGCUGUGCAGAGCUACAGGCUGCUUCCAUUUUGUCUAAAUGUUAAAUUCAACAACACAUGAGGCUGAUUUUGUUCUCAUAAAGUUUAAUAUUCUUGAGCGGUGAUGGUGAUAAAAACUAAACCCAAACACCAAACUUUUGCUUUCAGAUGUGUGAGGUAAUCUGUUGGAAAUCCCAGUGAUCACCACGGUGCUUUCUGUAGUUUCUCUUUCACCAGCAUUCAGUGAUUUGUUCUGCAGAAUGUCGCCCUUGACCCCUGUUUCUCCUAAACAGAGAAUGACUCAGCCGUCUGAGUCUCCAGAGUGUCUCUGAGUUUGCCUCCUGAUUCUUCUUUCGAUAUCACAGAAUACCCUAACAGAGAAAACUGAACGCUGAGCUUCACACUGUUUUCUCCUCAGACUCAUCUGUGACUCUGCAAACCCGGGAAGAUUCAAUCACACUGUUAUAGUUUGUUUGUUUCACAGCUGCUUCAGGAUAUUUCAGUGUAAUUCAAGUUUCAUCAUUGAUUCUGAAAACAUACAGUUAUUUUCAGCAUCAGUAACACAAACAAAUCUUUAAUAUGAAGUGAUAAAUGUCUGCAGAGACUCUGUGAGGGCAUAAAUAACAAUAUUCAGGCUGAAUUAGAGGUUUCAUAAAAUGUUUUCAGGUUGUUAUUGAGGCUUCAGAUGACAGAAAAACACACCAAGAAGUUUGAAAGGUGUUUACAUUUUUAAAAACCUGAUUGGGUUUAGACCUGAUUUUUUAGGCUUAGCUUUGGAUUGGUUUUGGACUAGUUCUGACAAGGUUUGGACUGGGUUUAGUUUCAGUUGUGGGCUUAAUCUGGAUUGGGCUUGAACUGGGUUUUGCCUUUAUUUGCCUUUAGGCAAUAUUAUUAGGAAGCACUGUAUUAAUUUCCAUUGUUAUGCUGACGACACUCAGUUGUAUUUAUCUAUGAAGCCAGAUGAAACUAAUCAGCUAGCUAGACUGCAAGAUUGUCUUAAGGACAUAAAGACCUGGAUGACCUAUAAUUUCUUACUACUAAAUUCAGACAAGACUGAAGUCAUUGUGUUUGGCCCCAAACAUCUUAGAAAAUUGCUUUCAAAGCAUAUAGUUACUCUGGAUGGCAUUACAUUGGCCUCCAGUACUACUGUGAGGAACCUCGGUGUUAUUUUUGACCAGGACAUGUCCUUUAACUCACACAUAAAACAAAUCUGUAGGACUUCCUUUUUCUCCUGAAAAAUAUUGUGAAAAUCAGGAACAUCCUGCCUCAGAAUGAUGCAGAAAAACUAGUCCAUGCAUUUGUUACUUCUAGGCUUGACUACUGUAAUUCCUUAUUAUCAGGUUGUCCCAAUAGCUCUCUGAAACAUCUACAGCUGAUCCAAAAUGCUGCAGCCAGAGUACUGACGGGAGUUAGCAAGAGAGAUCAUAUUUCUCCUAUAUUGGAUUCUCUUCAUUGGCUUCCUGUUAAAUCUAGAAUAGAAUUCAAAAUCCUUCUUCUGACAUAUAAAGCUCUUAACAACCAAUCUCCAUCAUAUCUUAAAGACCUGAUAGUACCAUAUUACCCUAGCAGAACUCUUCGCUCUCAGACUGCAGGCUUACUUGUUGUUCCUAGAAUCUCUAAAAGUAGAAUGGGAGGCAGAGCCUUCAGUUAUCAGGCACCUCUCCUGUGGAACCAGCUCCCAGUUUGGGUUCGGGAGGCGGACACCCUCUCUAUUUUUAAGACCAGGCUUAAAACCUUCCUUUUUGACAAAGCUUAUAGUUAGGGCUGACUGGGGGACCAUGAUGGGGUGAGCUGGUGUUUUCAUUUGCACAACUGACUUCUUCUUUCGACGUCCCCGUGAUCACCACGGUGCUUUCUGUAGUUUCUCUUCCACCAGCAUUCAAUGAUAAACAGGAUACAGCGUCUGGAUAAAAACUGACCGCUGAGCUUCAGACUCUGUUUUCUCCUCAGACUCAUCUGUGACGCUGCAGAACAGGCAUCAUGGGAAAUACACACCGCCAGUGUGCAGUUCAAAUUCACAAUGACAGCAAAAACUACAUACUUUGUAGCCCCAUGGUGUUCCUUGACAGUGGACGCUGUCUAAAUACUUUACCAUCAACAAUUGGACCAUCUCUGCACGGCUCUGCUUUGUUCAUAAAGACUCAUGACACAGCCUGUGGAUCUGUGGGUGUCUUCACCUACGACCUCUACAAUGAAUCUACAAAGAGACACGAAAAGAAGAUGGCUGUCAUGUUCUCCAAUCCUUAUGACUUCAACAUCAACUCUAACCUUUACGCAGUGGGACUCUUUGACAAGAAACAACUCUGUGAUCACAGUCUGUUUUCUAAAAUGUAUUACGACACAGGGACAGAGUUUGUAAGACGUGGUGCUGGUUAUAGUCUGACUUACAAAAGAGAUGGUCUGAUCAUCUCAGCCAACAUGACUGACACUUACGAGCCUGAUCUGGAUGUUAGCAUCAGCAGCAUAGACGGCUAACGGAAGGAAACGUGCUUCAUCUUUUCCUUUCUCAGAAGCUGCUGGUGAUGAUACAGGAUGUUUUAGAGUUUUAAACAUUUAACCAAAGUAUGAUUCACAUCUUUCAUUAAAGUGUGCAGUUUGCUGUGUUUUAAUUAACAGACAUUGACUUUAUCCUGUCUUUUGUUCUGGGUUUGGUCUGAACCUCCCCAGAAAGAUGUCUUUCUCUCCACUGCUACAUGCUCCUGAUAAACUUGUCUUCUAAUAGAAUAUCAACCAGAUCAAUAAUCAAUGUUUGUAAUAAAUAAUUAGUUAACACUAAUGAAUACUUAACUGAAAGUAAUAAAUAUAAUAGUGUUUUUUUUUUUUACCUGUUAAGAACUUUAUAAAGUUGCUUUUAGAAAGUGCUGCACAAAUACAGUUAAUUAUAAGGAACCAGUCGAAAUGUUCUAUUAAUUCUGAGUAAUUGUUCUGAAUAUGUGAUAUGUAUUGGGAGUAAUCCUGUUUCAAACUGACUUCUUAAAGAAAGUGUUUUCCUCAGUUAAAAGUGAUCUCCUACUAAUAGUUAACAGCUCACUGACAUCAGGCACUUUUCCCGAGUCACUGAAGGUAGCUGCCAUUAAGCCCCUCCUAAAAAGGAGGACUCUGGACGCCUCCGUGAUGAACAACUACAGACCUGUCUCUAUCAACCUAUCUUUUAUAUCCAAGAUUAUUUAACAAGUUGUAUUUAACCAGCUUAACAACUUUUAUAGAUUUCCGUCAGGCUUCAGACCACAUCACAGCACUGAGACAGCACUGGUCAAAUUGUUAAAUGACAUUAAGCUGAAUACUGAUUCUGGUUAAGUAUCACUCCUGAUUCUGCUGGAUUUGAGUGCUGCCUUUGAUACUGCAGAUUGUCUGUUUUGUUUCACUGAGGUUUGAAUACAGAACACAGACAGUAACCCAAGGACUUCAGACUUUAAUCUCAGCUUCAUACUUUCACUUUCUGUUGCUUUAUUUAGUUUGUUGUGCAGAUCCAGCAGCUGCUCAUUGAGUCUAUAAAUACGAAUUGCUCCAUUUUAAUUUCUCAUCAUUUAUUUGUAAUGUGUUUUUAAUAGUAUAUAUAAACACACACACACACGCACACACACAAACACACACACACACACAUAUACAUACAUAUAAAUAUCUAUCUAUCUAUCUAUCUAUCUAUCUAUCUAUCUAUACAUAUAUAUAUAUAUAUAUAUAUAGACACAGACACGCACACACACACUACCAUUCGAAAGUUUGGGGUCACUUUGAACUGGCCUCAUCUUUGAAAGUAAAGCAUUUCUUUUUUCGAUGAGGAUAACA
Amphiprion ocellaris (clown anemonefish) is the source of this 3976-nucleotide RNA transcript. It is a transcript of the gene named DELTA-sagatoxin-Srs1a-like, with no coding region annotated. The record is from RefSeq and is a predicted model, not a curated record. Lineage: Eukaryota; Metazoa; Chordata; Actinopteri; Pomacentridae. The transcript is spliced from 3 exons.